Non-coding RNA from Ornithorhynchus anatinus (platypus), 862 nucleotides. The record is from the annotation of a RefSeq genome assembly. Lineage: Eukaryota; Metazoa; Chordata; Mammalia; Monotremata; Ornithorhynchidae.
CCUGGGGGCAGAUGGAGAAGCAGGAAGGUCGAGGAGAGUUUGACUCCAGGGGCUGGGAAGCCUGGUCAGCAUCCCAGGGCCCAGAACUGAGAGUCUUCAGUGACCGCGGCCGUGGAAGGAGGAUGGAGAAGGCCCUGGUAGCCUCGUUACUGAUCCUGUGGCUCCAGCUGGGCUGGGCGAGAGGUGAGGACAAGGUGGAGCAGAAUCCUCCGGCCCUGAGAGUACAAAAGGGACAGAAUGGCAUCAUGAUCUGCAACUUCACAAGCAGUGCUUUUAAUAGCCUGCAGUGGUACCGGCAGGACCCUGGGAAAGGCCCCGUCUUCCUGAUGUUGAUUUAUUCAAGCGAGAUGGAAAAGACCCAGGGAAGGUUCACAGCCAAACUCAAUAAAGUUAAUCAGGGCAGCUCUCUUUUCAUCAGGGACAUCCAGCCCGGAGACUCAACCACCUACCUCUGUGCUGUGGAGACACAGUGAUCCCCAGACACCUGCGGCCUGUGCAGAAACCUUGCCUGCAGCUGGGGCUCCAACAUACAUGCUCCGCCCUGAAGGAAAUACCAUCAACUGAUAGACACCGUGGCCAAGGGAGCUGGGAUGAGAAUAGUUUGAAGACUUUGGAAAGUCUGGGAAGGCCGCCUCCAGGAGGUGGAUAUACAAAAUAAUGUGCUGAUUUCCCUAAACCUGCAGAGACGGUUUGACAUUCAGAGAUGGCUCCUGGCCGUGAGAGCAUGGAAAUGGAAGGACUGGGGGUGAAAUGAGGAGGAGCGGUAGGGGAGAAAAGAGAAAAUAGACAAAACAGGAGAAACCAAUUCAUCCAUCAAUGGUAUUUGAGUGCUUACUGUGUGCAGAGCACUGUACUAAGCGCU